Molecule: long non-coding RNA, 272 nt
Filed under: Olea europaea subsp. europaea
Lineage: Eukaryota; Viridiplantae; Streptophyta; Magnoliopsida; Lamiales; Oleaceae
Source: RNAcentral
AAUAGCAGAGCUGUCUAACACGCCAUUGUCUUAUGCGUCAUCUCCUUUUUGCUUUCCUUUUCUCUUUCUUCAGCUUUCCCAUUCUAUCGUCUUCCUCUCACUUUUCCUUUCUCUUGCUCGGCUCUUUCUCUUUAUACUUACUCUAUCGCUCCUUUCCUCUCCAAGGUUCUUCAAAAAUCUAGGUUCUACUUACAAAGUGUGCUUUUGCUUCUGCCGUCGAUUCCAUUUCCGAUCGCGGUGUAAUGGGUAUCGAUCAGCUGCAGUGCUUCCUN